UCCCUGGCAGUCUAGUGGUUAAGACUCCACACUUGCAAUGCUGGGGGCACAGGUUUGAUCCCUGGUUGGGGAA
This 73-nucleotide transfer RNA is filed under the name Ovis aries (sheep). It matches the Rfam family "tRNA". From Rfam's summary of the family: Transfer RNA (tRNA) molecules are approximately 80 nucleotides in length. Their secondary structure includes four short double-helical elements and three loops (D, anti-codon, and T loops). Further hydrogen bonds mediate the characteristic L-shaped molecular structure. tRNAs have two regions of fundamental functional importance: the anti-codon, which is responsible for specific mRNA codon recognition, and the 3' end, to which the tRNAs corresponding amino acid is attached (by aminoacyl-tRNA synthetases). tRNAs cope with the degeneracy of the genetic code in two manners: having more than one tRNA (with a specific anti-codon) for a particular amino acid; and 'wobble' base-pairing, i.e. permitting non-standard base-pairing at the 3rd anti-codon position. Lineage: Eukaryota; Metazoa; Chordata; Mammalia; Artiodactyla; Bovidae. The record is from Rfam by way of RNAcentral.